RNAcentral lists this transfer RNA (75 nucleotides) under Stutzerimonas stutzeri. RNAcentral's name for it is "Pseudomonas stutzeri tRNA-Met". It matches the Rfam family "tRNA". From Rfam's summary of the family: Transfer RNA (tRNA) molecules are approximately 80 nucleotides in length. Their secondary structure includes four short double-helical elements and three loops (D, anti-codon, and T loops). Lineage: Bacteria; Pseudomonadati; Pseudomonadota; Gammaproteobacteria; Pseudomonadales; Pseudomonadaceae. The record is from RNAcentral.
UGCGGGAUGGCGCAGUGGUAGCGCGAGGGUCUCAUAAGCCCGUGGUCGCUGGUUCGAUCCCAGCUCCCGCAACCA